Molecule: long non-coding RNA, 127 nt
Organism: Frieseomelitta varia
Lineage: Eukaryota; Metazoa; Arthropoda; Insecta; Hymenoptera; Apidae
Exons: 3
Source: RefSeq, a predicted model, not a curated record
ACUGAGUGAUCAAGUUUGAAAAAUAGUGUUUAAAUAUUGUGCUCUGUUCAACGUAAGCGUAUGUAUCAUGUUUCUCUUUCUCUCUAUAUAUAUACACACAUAUAUGUAUGUGUACAGAUCGUAAGAG